CUGGAAAACUGCUGACAGAAUUGUCCACAUUCUCUCCAGGAUUGGAUGUCAUAAAAGGCACCCACCACCUUUCCACAGCUUGUUCAUUUUUAACUGAGGCUUCUUUGUACACACCAAGUGUGGUCUUGAAUUUUAUCAUCUCGUUAUUGUGAAGUCUGUGAUCUGCUCCAGGGAUUAAUUAGAGCUGGGGCCCAUCUUUAGCUGGACUUGCCAAGCCCUCUUCCCUUAUAAUUAAAAGUUCCAGUAGCUGCAAGUAGGCAUCUAGGAGAACAAGUUUUGCACACUUUUCUGAGAUACUCAUGUGAUCUCCAGGCCACUUUGCCAUAUCUGAAGACAUACCUGGCUUGAAAUCAGAGGUCAGUGAAAUGCCAUAUUAAUGAAAACAGCUAUAUGCUGAGAAGCUUGAAACAUAGAAGGACUCUUCAAGAAACUAGAUGCUACAUCAUUGAGGAACUAUAAGCCUUGACUUUUUGUUUGUAAAAUGGGGAAGGAAAAAAUGUCUACUAAGGGUACUUAAAUGACUGGAGUUCUAUUGCUUAUGUUAUGCAGGCCAGCAGGCUUCUGCAUUAGUCUUCUUCUGCAUGUAAAAUACAUGAACAAUU
This is a long non-coding RNA of Pseudopipra pipra, 602 nucleotides long. RefSeq lists it as uncharacterized. The transcript has 4 exons. Lineage: Eukaryota; Metazoa; Chordata; Aves; Passeriformes; Pipridae. The record is from RefSeq and is a predicted model, not a curated record.